GGGAACUAUGUGUACAUAUACUGAAACCGGAACGAUACAGAGAGGAUUAGCAUGGGCCCGGAGUAAGGAUGACACGCAAAAUAGUGAAGCUAUGAACAAGACA
Small nuclear RNA from Homarus americanus (American lobster), 103 nucleotides. Lineage: Eukaryota; Metazoa; Arthropoda; Malacostraca; Decapoda; Nephropidae. The record is from RefSeq and is a predicted model, not a curated record.